Molecule: long non-coding RNA, 410 nt
Organism: Cynoglossus semilaevis (tongue sole)
Lineage: Eukaryota; Metazoa; Chordata; Actinopteri; Pleuronectiformes; Cynoglossidae
Exons: 3
Source: RefSeq, a predicted model, not a curated record
UUUAACCUGAAGGUUCAAAGGUCAUAAAGGUCAAAAACAGCCAUCAAACAGCACGAAAAAACUGAAAAGGACUAACUGGUCUGGACUAACCGGAGCUGAUGACUGUCUCCUGGAAAUGUAAUUUCCACCAGACGAGGCCCGUGAAGGAGAUCAAAAUCAGCUCUGGCACAAUUAAGACCAGCAGCCCUUUCUCCUAAUCUCCAACCCACAACGGCGUGGUCUCUGUAAUGGAGCAGCUGCACGGCGUCCACCGACAGCAUCACCGUCCGACCACGUCAAAGGUUCCUCAUUCAUGAGGCUGACAGAACAGGAAGUGAAUAAACAGCUGCCUGUGGUCCUCCUUCUUCUUCUUCUCUCCCCCGAUCGACCUCCCACUCUGCUGUAAUGACUGGCUUCAUCACCGCGGCCUG